UACGGAGGGGGCUAGCGUUGUUCGGAAUUACUGGGCGUAAAGCGCACGUAGGCGGCUUUGUAAGUUAGAGGUGAAAGCCCAGGGCUCAACCCUGGAAUUGCCUUUAAGACUGCAUCGCUUGAACAUCGGAGAGGUAAGUGGAAUUCCGAGUGUAGAGGUGAAAUUCGUAAGAUAUUCGGAAGAACACCAGUGGCGAAGGCGACUUACUGGACGAUUGUUGACGCUGAGGUGCGAAAGCGUGGGGAGCAAACAGG
This 254-nucleotide ribosomal RNA is filed under the name uncultured bacterium. Its description in RNAcentral is "partial 16S ribosomal RNA". It matches the Rfam family "Bacterial small subunit ribosomal RNA", at positions 524 to 776 of the family's 1533-position model. The record is from RNAcentral.